Molecule: ribosomal RNA, 585 nt
Filed under: uncultured bacterium
Lineage: Bacteria
Description: bacterial SSU rRNA
Rfam family: Bacterial small subunit ribosomal RNA
Source: RNAcentral
CCUACGGGAGGCAGCAGUGGGGAAUUUUGGACAAUGGGCGCAAGCCUGAUCCAGCAAUGCCGCGUGAGUGAAGAAGGCCUUCGGGUUGUAAAGCUCUUUUGUCAGGGAAGAAACGGUGUUUUCUAAUACAGAGCGCUAAUGACGGUACCUGAAGAAUAAGCACCGGCUAACUACGUGCCAGCAGCCGCGGUAAUACGUAGGGUGCAAGCGUUAAUCGGAAUUACUGGGCGUAAAGCGUGCGCAGGCGGUUUUGUAAGUUUGUCGUGAAAUCCCCGGGCUCAACCUGGGAAUGGCGAUGAAGACUGCAAGGCUAGAGUUUGGCAGAGGGGGGUAGAAUUCCACGUGUAGCAGUGAAAUGCGUAGAUAUGUGGAGGAACACCGAUGGCGAAGGCAGCCCCCUGGGUCAAAACUGACGCUCAUGCACGAAAGCGUGGGGAGCAAACAGGAUUAGAUACCCUGGUAGUCCACGCCCUAAACGAUGUCUACUAGUUGUCGGGUCUUAAUUGACUUGGUAACGCAGCUAACGCGUGAGUAGACCGCCUGGGGAGUACGGUCGCAAGAUUAAAACUUCAAAGGAAUUGACGG